GAGCUGUGUGAUGAACACAAAGUGAAUUAUUCUUCGUCUUUUACUAAAGAAUACCAUGCGUUGGCCGCUAUUGGGCAUACGCCAAUUUUUGAAGGCUUCCAUCUCUUAAAAAUGGGGU
This is a non-coding RNA of Picea glauca (white spruce), 118 nucleotides long. NCBI's taxonomy places the organism in Eukaryota, Viridiplantae, Streptophyta, Pinopsida, Pinales, Pinaceae. The record is from Rfam.